Molecule: ribosomal RNA, 492 nt
Filed under: uncultured bacterium
Lineage: Bacteria
Description: partial 16S ribosomal RNA
Rfam family: Bacterial small subunit ribosomal RNA
Source: RNAcentral
AGUGAACGCUGGCGGUAGGCCUAACACAUGCAAGUCGAACGGCAGCACAGUAAGAGCUUGCUCUUACGGGUGGCGAGUGGCGGACGGGUGAGGAAUACAUCGGAAUCUACUUUUUCGUGGGGGAUAACGUAGGGAAACUUACGCUAAUACCGCAUACGACCUACGGGUGAAGGCAGGGGAUCUUCGGACCUUGCGCGAUUGAAUGAGCCGAUGUUGGAUUAGCUAGUUGGCGGGGUAAAGGCCCACCAAGGCGACGAUCCGUAGCUGGUCUGAGAGGAUGAUCAGCCACACUGGAACUGAGACACGGUCCAGACUCCUACGGGAGGCAGCAGUGGGGAAUAUUGGACAAUGGGCGCAAGCCUGAUCCAGCCAUACCGCGUGGGUGAAGAAGGCCUUCGGGUUGUAAAGCCCUUUUGUUGGGAAAGAAAAGCAGCAGGUUAAUACCCCGCUGUUCUGACGGUACCCAAAGAAUAAGCACCGGCUAACUUCGUG